GCCGUGGUGCCCGAGUGGUCCAAGGGGUUUGGCUCGAGACCAAAUCUCCGUAAGGAGACGUGGGUUCAAAUCCCACCCACGGCG
This 84-nucleotide transfer RNA is filed under the name Nanobdella aerobiophila. Its description in RNAcentral is "tRNA-Ser". It matches the Rfam family "tRNA". From Rfam's summary of the family: Transfer RNA (tRNA) molecules are approximately 80 nucleotides in length. Their secondary structure includes four short double-helical elements and three loops (D, anti-codon, and T loops). Lineage: Archaea; Nanobdellati; Nanobdellota; Nanobdellia; Nanobdellales; Nanobdellaceae. The record is from RNAcentral.